This 397-nucleotide ribosomal RNA is filed under the name uncultured bacterium. RNAcentral's name for it is "partial 16S ribosomal RNA". It matches the Rfam family "Bacterial small subunit ribosomal RNA", at positions 523 to 918 of the family's 1533-position model. The record is from RNAcentral.
AUACGUAGGGUGCGAGCGUUGUCCGGAAUUACUGGGCGUAAAGAGCUCGUAGGUGGUUUGUCGCGUCGUCUGUGAAAUUCCGGGGCUUAACUCCGGGCGUGCAGGCGAUACGGGCAUAACUUGAGUACUGUAGGGGAGACUGGAAUUCCUGGUGUAGCGGUGAAAUGCGCAGAUAUCAGGAGGAACACCGGUGGCGAAGGCGGGUCUCUGGGCAGUAACUGACGCUGAGGAGCGAAAGCAUGGGUAGCGAACAGGAUUAGAUCCCCUGGUAGUCCAUGCCGUAAACGGUGGCGCUAGGUGUAGGGGUCUUCCACGACUUCUGUGCCGUAGCUAACGCAUUAAGCGCCCCGCCUGGGGAGUACGGCCGCAAGGCUAAAACUCAAAGGAAUUGACGGGG